Long non-coding RNA from Drosophila mojavensis, 255 nucleotides. RefSeq lists it as uncharacterized. NCBI's taxonomy places the organism in Eukaryota, Metazoa, Arthropoda, Insecta, Diptera, Drosophilidae. The record is from RefSeq and is a predicted model, not a curated record. The transcript is spliced from 2 exons.
CAAGAACCCAACACAGCGUCCCCAAUCACUAGUACUCUAGUGUGGGAGCGCUUAACUGGCGCCCGAGCAGGGACCCACAUUCUUCACGGAAGUAAAGGGAAAUGGUGACGUGUCAAUAAUUCUAUAAAAAUGACUUAUUAAAAAAGCAAGUACAAAUAAAUUGUUCCAAUCCAAUUGGGCAAUUGUUGGCAAAAUUACGAAGUACUUCUGCGAUUUGCAAACAAGUGUUGGUGCACUAGAUAAUUCUAUAACAUA